GAUGAACGCUGGCGGCGUGCCUAAUACAUGCAAGUCGAGCGAACGGACGAGAAGCUUGCUCUUCUGAUGUUAGCGGCGGACGGGUGAGUAACACGUGGAUAACCUACCUAUAAGACUGGGAUAACUUCGGGGAACCGGAGCUAAUACCGGAUAAUAUUUUGAACCGCAUGGUUCAAAAGUGAAAGACGGUCUUGCUGUCACUUAUAGAUGGAUCCGCGCUGCAUUAGCUAGUUGGUAAGGUAACGGCUUACCAAGGCAACGAUGCAUAGCCGACCUGAGAGGGUGAUCGGCCACACUGGAACUGAGACACGGUCCAGACUCCUACGGGAGGCAGCAGUAGGGAAUCUUCCGCAAUGGGCGAAAGCCUGACGGAGCAACGCCGCGUGAGUGAUGAAGGUCUUCGGAUCGUAAAACUCUGUUAUUAGGGAAGAACAAAUGUGUAAGUAACUGUGCACAUCUUGACGGUACCUAAUCAGAAAGCCACGGCUAACUACGUG
RNAcentral lists this ribosomal RNA (497 nucleotides) under uncultured bacterium. RNAcentral describes it as "partial 16S ribosomal RNA". It matches the Rfam family "Bacterial small subunit ribosomal RNA", at positions 28 to 507 of the family's 1533-position model. The record is from RNAcentral.